Molecule: non-coding RNA, 800 nt
Organism: Nicotiana tabacum (common tobacco)
Lineage: Eukaryota; Viridiplantae; Streptophyta; Magnoliopsida; Solanales; Solanaceae
Source: RefSeq, a predicted model, not a curated record
GAGAUGUCAGAUAUAAGACGUGCGCUUUCUAGGGUUCACAGAUAGUCCGUCCCUUUGCUGCUGCAUUUUGGUUGAUUUCCUACCUCCCCUCAAUUUUCUUCGAGCAGCUAUGAUUAUCCCAGAGAAGAACCGAAGAGAGAUCUCCAAGUACCUCUUCCAAGAGGGAGUAUGCUUUGCAAAGAAGGACUACAACUUGGCAAAGCAUCCGAAUAUCGAUGCGCCAAACCUACAGGUGAUAAAAUUGAUGCAGAGUUUCAAGUCGAAGGAAUACGUGCGUGAGACCUUUGCUUGGAUGCACUACUAUUGGUAUCUGACCAAUGACGGCAUUGAGUUCCUCAGGACUUACCUCAAUCUUCCUUCCGAAAUUGUCCCUGCUACUCUCAAGAAGUCUGCUAAGCCUCUUGGUCGUCCCAUGGGUGGCCCUCCUGGCGACCGUCCCCGGUAAUUUGUAUAUNGCCCCCCCGGUGAGUUUGGAGGCGACAAGGGUGGAGCUCCAGCUGACUACCAGCCUGCAUUCAGGGGUGGUGGUGGAAGACCUGGAUUCGGGCGUGGGGCAGGAGGUUUCGGUGGUGCACCCCCUAGCUCAAGCUUCGCUUAAAGUGAUCAUAUCUUUAUUGUAGCUAGUUUUUAUGCAAUUUUGAUAAUCACAUGUUGGAAUUGACUUGCAGCAGUCGAAAGAACUUGGUUCAAUUGGGCAUAAACUUCUUUAUUGGAUUUUUAGAGAACUAAUUUUGCAUGUAUUGUUUAUGUUUGGUAUGAGCAAUAUUAGUAAUAUAUGUUAUUUCAGAGUAAUUUAAAUA